UACAGAGGGGGCGAGCGUUGUUCGGAAUUACUGGGCGUAAAGGGCGCGUAGGUGGCCUGUUAAGUCGAACGUGAAAUCCCCGGGCUCAACCCGGGAACUGCGUCCGAGACUGGCAGGCUCGAAUCCGGGAGAGGGAUGUGGAAUUCCAGGUGUAGCGGUGGAAUGCGCAGAUAUCAGGAGGAACACCCGUGGCGAAGGCGGCCUUCUGGGUCCGCCCUGACGCUGAGGCGCGAAAGCGUGGGGAGCGAACGGG
RNAcentral lists this ribosomal RNA (253 nucleotides) under uncultured bacterium. Its description in RNAcentral is "partial 16S ribosomal RNA". It matches the Rfam family "Bacterial small subunit ribosomal RNA", at positions 524 to 776 of the family's 1533-position model. The record is from RNAcentral.